This 253-nucleotide ribosomal RNA is filed under the name uncultured bacterium. RNAcentral describes it as "partial 16S ribosomal RNA". It matches the Rfam family "Bacterial small subunit ribosomal RNA", at positions 524 to 776 of the family's 1533-position model. The record is from RNAcentral.
UACGGAGGGUGCGAGCGUUGUCCGGAAUCACUGGGCGUAAAGGGCGCGUAGGCGGCCGUGUAAGUCGGAUGUGAAAUUUCGGAGCUUAACUCCGAAACUGCAUUCGAUACUGCCGUGCUUGAGGACUGGAGAGGAGACUGGAAUUUACGGUGUAGCGGUGAAAUGCGUAGAUAUCGUAAGGAAGACCAGUGGCGAAGGCGGGUCUCUGGACAAUUCCUGACGCUGAGGCACGAAGGUCAGGGGAGCAAACGGG